RNAcentral lists this ribosomal RNA (465 nucleotides) under uncultured bacterium. RNAcentral describes it as "partial 16S ribosomal RNA". It matches the Rfam family "Bacterial small subunit ribosomal RNA", at positions 28 to 507 of the family's 1533-position model. The record is from RNAcentral.
GACGAACGCUGGCGGCGUGCUUAACACAUGCAAGUCGAACGCUGAACCCGCUUCGGUGGGGGAUGAGUGGCGAACGGGUGAGUAACACGUGGGCAACCUGCCCCCGGCUCUGGGAUAACUCCAAGAAAUUGGGGCUAAUACCGGAUGUGACCGCUGGCCGCAUGGUCUGGUGGUGGAAAGGGUUUCCGGCUGGGGAUGGGCCCGCGGCCUAUCAGCUUGUUGGUGGGGUAGUGGCCUACCAAGGCGACGACGGGUAGCCGGCCUGAGAGGGUGACCGGCCACACUGGGACUGAGACACGGCCCAGACUCCUACGGGAGGCAGCAGUGGGGAAUAUUGCGCAAUGGGCGGAAGCCUGACGCAGCGACGCCGCGUGGGGGAUGACGGCCUUCGGGUUGUAAACCUCUUUCAGCAGGGACGAAGCGCAAGUGGCGGUACCUGCAGAAGAAGCACCGGCCAACUACGUG